UAUAUUCUCUUGAUAGUCCAUUUCUUGUUUUUGCUUUGCUAUCCUAAGUCACCUCGGCUUCAAUAACUUCAAGAUCGAGUUCUUCCUGUCCGUUGAAGCAUCCUCAUCGUUGGUGUCAUCAUCAUUUGCCAUUGCUACAGCAUUUGAUUUUCUUUAAGUGCAGAGAUUUGAACUUAUUACGACAAAUUCUAGGCUUAGGCC
This 201-nucleotide long non-coding RNA is filed under the name Elaeis guineensis (African oil palm). RNAcentral describes it as "long non-coding RNA (EGUI_LNC025134)". Lineage: Eukaryota; Viridiplantae; Streptophyta; Magnoliopsida; Arecales; Arecaceae. The record is from RNAcentral.